Molecule: ribosomal RNA, 1173 nt
Filed under: Corynebacterium sp. HMSC076D02
Lineage: Bacteria; Bacillati; Actinomycetota; Actinomycetes; Mycobacteriales; Corynebacteriaceae
Description: bacterial LSU rRNA
Rfam family: Bacterial large subunit ribosomal RNA
Source: RNAcentral
UGUUCGUUAUUUAGGGCGCAUGGUGGAUGCCUUGGCAUGCUGAGCCGAUGAAGGACGUGAAAGGCUGCGUUAAGCCUCGGGGAGUUGUCAAUUAAGCGUUGAUCCGAGGAUGUCCGAAUGGGGAAACCUGGCACUUGUUAUGGAGUGUUACCCUUCAGUGAAUUCAUAGCUGUUGUGGGGGUUACGCGGGGAAGUGAAACAUCUCAGUACCCGUAGGAGAAGAAAAUAAUAAUGAUUCUGCUAGUAGUGGCGAACGAACGUGGAUGAGGCUAAACCGUGUGCAUGUGAUACUUGGUAGGGGUUGUGUGUGCGGUGUUGUGGGCCUUGAUGUGCAGCGACUACCAUCGUUGCGUCUUGUUGUUGGUGUUAGGUGAAGUGGUGUGGAAACGCCUGCCGUAGAGGGUGAUAGUCCUGUAGCUGAAGACAUUGAUGAUGGGGUUGUCAAGUUGCCCGAGUAGCAGCGGGCUCGUGGAAUCUGCUGUGAAUCUGCCGGGACCACCCGGUAAGCCUAAAUACUCAGUGUGACCGAUAGUGGAUAGUACCGUGAGGGAAUGGUGAAAAGUACCCCGGGAGGGGAGUGAAAUAGUUCCUGAAACCAUGUGCUUACAAUCCGUCAGAGCACCGUUUGUGUGUGAUGGCGUGCCUUUUGAAGAAUGAGCCUGCGAGUCAGCGGCAUGUCGCGAGGUUAACCCGUGUGGGGUAGCCGUAGGGAAACCGAAUCCUAAUGGGGUGUCAAGUGGCAUGUCCUGGACCCGAAGCGGGGUGAUCUACCCAUGGCCAGUGUGAAGCAGCAGUAAGAUGCUGUGGAGGCGCGAACCCACGUAGGUUGAAAACUGCGGGGAUGAGCUGUGGGUAGGGGUGAAAGGCCAAUCAAACUCCGUGAUAGCUGGUUCUCCCCGAAAUGCAUUUAGGUGCAGCGUCGCAUUAGCUUGGUGGAGGUAGAGCUACUGGUUGGUUGAGCGGGACUACAAUCUUAGCAAUGUCAGCCAAACUCCGAAUGCCAUUAAUGUGUUGUGCGGCAGUGAGACUGUGGGGGAUAAGCUUCAUAGUCGAGAGGGAAACAGCCCAGAUCGCCGGUUAAGGCCCCUAAGGGUGUGCUAAGUGGAAAAGGAUGUGGGAUCGCGAAGACAGCCAGGAGGUUGGCUUAGAAGCAGCCAUCCUUGAAAGAGUGCG